GUAGGUGGCAAGCGUUGUCCGGAAUUAUUGGGCGUAAAGCGCGCGCAGGCGGUUCUUUAAGUCUGAUGUGAAAGCCCACGGCUCAACCGUGGAGGGUCAUUGGAAACUGGAGAACUUGGGUACAGAAGAGGAAAGCGGAAUUCCACGUGUAGCGGUGAAAUGCGUAGAGAUGUGGAGGUACACCAGUGGCGAAGGCGGCUUUCUGGUCUGUAACUGACGCUGAGGCGCGAAAGCGUGGGGAGCAAACAGGGAUUAGAUACCCUGGUAGUCCACGCCGUAAACGAUGAGUGCUAAGUGUUAGGGGGUUUCCCGCCCCUUAGUGCUGCAGCUAACGCAUUAAGCACUCCGCCCCGGGGGAGUACGGCCGCAAGGCUG
Molecule: ribosomal RNA, 375 nt
Filed under: uncultured organism
Description: partial 16S ribosomal RNA
Rfam family: Bacterial small subunit ribosomal RNA
Source: RNAcentral